RNAcentral lists this ribosomal RNA (253 nucleotides) under uncultured bacterium. RNAcentral describes it as "partial 16S ribosomal RNA". It matches the Rfam family "Bacterial small subunit ribosomal RNA", at positions 524 to 776 of the family's 1533-position model. The record is from RNAcentral.
UACGUAGGGACCAAGCGUUGUUCGGAUUUACUGGGCGUAAAGAGCGUGUAGGCGGCCAAGCAGGUCCGCUGUGAAAACUCGAGGCUCAACCUCGAGAGGUCGGUGGAAACCGUUUGGCUAGAGUCCGGAAGAGGAGAGUGGAAUUCCCGGUGUAGCGGCGAAAUGCGCAGAUAUCGGGAAGAACACCCGUGGCGAAGGCGGCUCUCUGGGACGGUACUGACGCUGAGACGCGAAAGCGUGGGGAGCGAACAGG